UCGUACAACCGAGACGCGAAGGCUGUCGCUCAUGUUGUGCACGCCCUGGCGCUCUCACCACAAUCCAUGUCACCCCUUUUGUGCAUCACCGCGUGGGUCCGCCCUUUCUGGGAGGGCUCACGUUUUCACACAAAACUCGAUACAGUCUAGAAUGUUCAUUUUUUGCGGUCACACGCAAUCAAUA
This 184-nucleotide unclassified non-coding RNA is filed under the name uncultured Russulaceae. Its description in RNAcentral is "sequence contains ITS1". The record is from RNAcentral. Lineage: Eukaryota; Fungi; Basidiomycota; Agaricomycetes; Russulales; Russulaceae.